This 238-nucleotide ribosomal RNA is filed under the name uncultured bacterium. RNAcentral describes it as "partial 16S ribosomal RNA". It matches the Rfam family "Bacterial small subunit ribosomal RNA", at positions 15 to 236 of the family's 1533-position model. The record is from RNAcentral.
GAUCCUGGCUCAGGAUGAACGCUGGCGGCGUGCCUAACACAUGCAAGUCGAGCGAGAAGCUUCUGACGGAUUCUUCGGAUGACGGAGGGAGUGGAAAGCGGCGGACGGGUGAGUAACGCGUAGGCAACCUGCCUUAUGCAGAGGGAUAGCCAUUGGAAACGAUGAUUAAAACCUCAUAACGCCUUUUGACCACAUGGAAAAGAGGCCAAAGAUUUAUCGGCAUAAGAUGGGCCUGCGU